Molecule: ribosomal RNA, 239 nt
Filed under: uncultured prokaryote
Description: partial 16S ribosomal RNA
Rfam family: Bacterial small subunit ribosomal RNA
Source: RNAcentral
UGCCCCGCCACAUGGCGGGGAGAAUAAGCACCUGCUAACUACGUGCCAGCAGCCGCGGUAAUACGUAGGGUGCAAGCGUUAUCCGGAUUUAUUGGGCGUAAAGAGUUCGUAGGCGUCUUGACGCAUCUUGCUUCAAAUUCCGAGGCUCAACCUCGGGCAGGGGUGAGAGAUGGUCAGGAUUUGAGUUUGCUAGGGGGUACUGGAACUUGUGGUGUAGCAGUGAAAUGCGUUGAUAUCAC